This is a non-coding RNA of Acipenser ruthenus (sterlet), 604 nucleotides long. NCBI's taxonomy places the organism in Eukaryota, Metazoa, Chordata, Actinopteri, Acipenseriformes, Acipenseridae. The record is from the annotation of a RefSeq genome assembly.
GAGUUUAACACUUCAUGAUUGAGAGCUGCCCUUCACGGCAACAGAAUCCACAAUAACAAUGACUUUUAUCAGCAUCUUCAUCUGGGCACUUGUCAUCUGCACUCAGGAAUCCAGCGGACAAUAUACUCUGACUCAGACUCCAGCAGUGAAAUCUGUUCUCCCAGGAGACACAGUCGUUCUCAGCUGUAAAGUCAGCAGCGCAGUGUACAGUAACAACCGCCUAGCCUGGUACCAACAGAAACCUGGAGAAGCUCCCAAACUCCUGAUCUACUUGGCAAGUACCCUUCAGUCUGGGAUCCCAACUCGUUUCAGUGGCAGUGGAUCUGGGACUGACUUCACUCUGACCAUCAGUGGAGUCCAGGCUGAAGAUGCAGGAGAUUACUACUGUGAGAGUUACCACUACCUCAACAGUAAAGAUGUGUUCACACAGUGCUACACACCCGUACAAAAACCUCCCUCAGCAGGACUGCACAGCGACUGCACUGCUGCAGUCCUUCGGAGGCGGCCGCUGAUUGUCAGUGAAGAGAUCCAGCAGGGGGUGGUGGUUCCUGCAUCGGUGGGAGGAAAAGGAAGCGGACCGAUCCAGUACAGAGAAGCCGUCUAA